This 459-nucleotide ribosomal RNA is filed under the name uncultured bacterium. Its description in RNAcentral is "partial 16S ribosomal RNA". It matches the Rfam family "Bacterial small subunit ribosomal RNA", at positions 338 to 795 of the family's 1533-position model. The record is from RNAcentral.
CCUACGGGAGGCUGCAGUGAGGAAUAUUGGUCAAUGGGAGAGAUCCUGAACCAGCCAAGCCGCGUGAGGGAAGACGGCCCUAUGGGUUGUAAACCUCUUUUGUCGGAGAACAAAACCCGGGACGUGUCCCGGACUGCGUGUAUCCGAAGAAAAAGCAUCGGCUAACUCCGUGCCAGCAGCCGCGGUAAUACGGAGGAUGCGAGCGUUAUCCGGAUUUAUUGGGUUUAAAGGGUGCGUAGGCGGUCCGUUAAGUCAGCGGGAAAAUUGCGGGGCUCAACCCCGUCGAGCCGUUGAAACUGGCAGACUUGAGUUGGCGAGAAGUACGCGGAAUGUGCGGUGUAGCGGUGAAAUGCAUAGAUAUCGCGCAGAACUCCGAUUGCGAAGGCAGCGUACCGGCGCCAGACUGACGCUGAGGCACGAAAGCGUGGGGAUCGAACAGGAUUAGAUACCCCUGUAGUC